RNAcentral lists this long non-coding RNA (210 nucleotides) under Hordeum vulgare. Its description in RNAcentral is "long non-coding RNA (HVUL_LNC012246)". Lineage: Eukaryota; Viridiplantae; Streptophyta; Magnoliopsida; Poales; Poaceae. The record is from RNAcentral.
CGAGUGAAGAGGACUUGUUACUUAAUGCUAUGGUUGGGGUUUACAUUAAGAUGUUUAGUGUUGUUUUGGCAGAAUACUGUAAGGCAAUAUCCUCACAACCUUUUAUUAAUAAAACCAAAAGAAGAGGUUCUAUACAUACAAAAUGAAAAGGAAAACUUACCGAAGGAGCUAUGUGCAUGAACAACUAAUUACAAAAAGAAAUAAAAAAAC